Salmo salar (Atlantic salmon) is the source of this 1330-nucleotide long non-coding RNA. RefSeq lists it as uncharacterized. The record is from RefSeq and is a predicted model, not a curated record. NCBI's taxonomy places the organism in Eukaryota, Metazoa, Chordata, Actinopteri, Salmoniformes, Salmonidae.
CCUGAAAGGCCGCUCUGCAAGGAAGAAGCCACUGCUCCAAAACCGCCCCCCAAAAAGCCAGACUACGGUUUGCAACUGCACAUGGGGACAUAUUUUUUCUGUGAUUCGUUGUCAUUAAAGACUGUUGCUGAAAGGAUUCAUGCUGUUGCACAAAUGAUUGACCCAGCUGAGGGGACACUGGUUACCAUCAAGUACGCAGAUGGAGGAAGCAUGAGGAAGAGGUUCCUCCCCUCUCAACCUUUUCAGGACAUCGUAAUGUUCGUUGGGGCCCCUGAUAUGGCUUCCGAAACCUUCUGUCUUGAUUUACCCAUGUCAUCCGCCAGUUACACACGUGCCCAGGCAGGAACAGUGGUGGACAGCGGGAUUGUUGAAGAUGUGGUUUUAUACACUAUUUGGCUGGCUGAGGAUCAGGUGGAGGUGACUACUUUCACAUUUAGACAGAUUCAACAAUCUGACAUAAGUACUGGUUCUCCUUCAUGCUUAUAUCUGAAAAAAAUAACAUAGGGCAUUGGUUGUCAAACCUCAGGGACACCCUGCCGUUACAUGUGUUUUAUAUAUUACAGAGUUACUACAAUAGAUUCAACUUAUCAGCUACUAAUCAAGCCCUUUACUUGGUGAAUUUGUUUAGCUAUUUCUGGGCUACUACUACAUUGUGAAACAUAUGGGGGUUGCAGAGAAGUUUGAGAACCACUGAAAAGUAUUGUGGUUUUUCAGGAAAAUAAACCAACACAAAACCAACCUGCCUCCCAAGUGUCGACACCCACCAGGUCCCCACCUGCCUCCCAAGUGUCGACUGUGGGUUCAGUUGAGAUGUUUUGUAUGAAAUGUGCUUUUCUUUAAAACAGCAAGUUGUGGAUUAGAUGGGCACCCUCUCACGAUUGUCUUUCACAAUUCAGAGACUUAACAGUGCUCAAAGCAUUUUGCGAAACUGACUCUGCAGUCAAUUUGACUUUGUUCAGCACUUUCAUUUAUGUAAAAUGUUCUGUCUUGACUUUCAAUUUCAUAAUCUACAUCUACUAUUCUUUAAAGAAAAAUGUUGUGGAUUACUUUAAUUUGGGAACCCUCUGUCUCCUGUCUUUGACUUUAAUUGAUGUCAACUGUUCUUUCUGUGUUUUUAAUUUACAUUUGAAUCAAAUUGAAGCUGAAGUAAUAAUUUUAGAUUAUUUGACAAAGUCAACACAAAAUGUACAUAUAUGGUGGAUUCAAUGGUGUUAUGUUUGUAUACUUACUGUCUUUCACAAUUCAUCCACUGUGUUAACUAUACAGCAAAUUUGACAUGGUUCAUUACUUUGUUUUAUAACAAUGUUUAAAAGAGUUACUUGUACCGAAA